This 482-nucleotide ribosomal RNA is filed under the name uncultured bacterium. RNAcentral describes it as "bacterial SSU rRNA". It matches the Rfam family "Bacterial small subunit ribosomal RNA", at positions 501 to 985 of the family's 1533-position model. The record is from RNAcentral.
CUACGUGCCAGCAGCCGCGGUAAUACGGAGGAUGCGAGCGUUAUCCGGAUUUAUUGGGUUUAAAGGGUGCGUAGGCGGCCUGUUAAGUCAGCGGUGAAAUCUAGGAGCUUAACUCCUAAAUUGCCAUUGAUACUGGCGGGCUUGAGUGUAGAUGAGGUAGGCGGAAUGCGUGGUGUAGCGGUGGAAUGCAUAGAUAUCACGCAGAACUCCAAUUGCGAAGGCAGCUUACUAAGGUACAACUGACGCUGAAGCACGAAAGCGUGGGUAUCAAACAGGAUUAGAUACCCUGGUAGUCCACGCAGUAAACGAUGAUAACUGGGCGUAUGCGAUAUACAGUAUGCUCCUAAGCGAAAGCGUUAAGUUAUCCACCUGGGGAGUACGCCGGCAACGGUGAAACUCAAAGGAAUUGACGGGGGCCCGCACAAGCGGAGGAACAUGUGGUUUAAUUCGAUGAUACGCGAGGAACCUUACCCGGGAUUGAA